UUGGAGGGCAAGUCUGGUGCCAGCAGCCGCGGUAAUUCCAGCUCCAAUAGCGUAUAUUAAAGUUGUUGCAGUUAAAAAGCUCGUAGUUGAAUUUCGAGAUCAAUUUUCUUGGUCAUACCUUUGUAUGUACUGGUCUUAUUGAUUUCUCCCUUCUGAUGAACCAUGAUGUCAUUAAUUUGGUGUUAUGGGGAAUCAGGUCUAUUACUUUGAAAAAAUUAGAGUGUUUAAAGCAGGCUCACGCUUGAAUACAUUAGCAUGGAAUAAUGAAAUAGGACGUUUGAUUCUAUUUUGUUGGUUUCUAGGAUUGACGUAAUGAUUAAUAGGGAUAGUUGGGGGCAUUAGUAUUCAAUUGUCAGAGGUGAAAUUCUUGGAUUUAUUGAAGACUAACUACUGCGAAAGCAUUUGCCAAAGAUGUUUUCAUUAAUCAAGAACGAAAGUUAGGGGAUCGAAGACGAUCAGAUACCGUCGUAGUCUUAACCAUAAACUAUGCCGACUAGGAAUCGGAUGAUGUUAAUUUUUUAAUGACUCAUUCCGCGCCUUACGGGAAACCAAAGUGUUUGGGUUC
Molecule: ribosomal RNA, 565 nt
Filed under: uncultured Glomeromycotina
Lineage: Eukaryota; Fungi; Glomeromycota
Description: SSU rRNA
Rfam family: Eukaryotic small subunit ribosomal RNA
Source: RNAcentral